UUGAAAUGAAAUUAAAUUAGUUGUAGGGAAAUGCAUAAUUCAAAUUCAUGCAGUGUCUUUCACUAAAAUUUCUCAUCCAGCAGUGGUGGAGCUAAUUUAUUUUUACAAACGUAGUCUAGUAUUUUAUAGAGAAAUUUGUUGUUUUUCGAGUAGUCUAAACGACCCCUUGGAAAAAAAAUAUUCUAUAUUCGGCCCGAGUGAAGAUAAAAUCCUGGUUCCACCAUUGCCAGCAAAGAUACUAAUUCUCUUUACAUGAUACAGACCUAUAGAAUCAAGAAAGCGAACUGUCUUCUUUAUUUUAAUAUUUCUAAUGAACAAUAAUAAUAGAAGUUCUUCGCCAAAUAAUAAUUGUCUUUCCCACUAAAACUACCUUUUUAGGUUCAUUUGCACGUUAAGCGUGCCUUCAUUCUAAGAAAAUCCGAACUCGGACUUCUUAAAUCUACACCAUAUGUUUUCGUAGUGUUGCACGAAUCUUAAAAAAUGCUAAUAUAGUAAUGUCUAUAGUUUUUCAUGUUUCAUUCUUUGAUUUCUGAUUCUUCUCUGUUUUUUUUAGCCUUGGAGCAUAAAAGAAGAUCAAGCUAAAGAUGACAACAGGAAGAAGAGGAAAUGCCAAGUGUCAGACAGUCCUCUUGGUCCUAAGAGCUUCUAGGCAUAGGAACAUGCAGCAAAAGGCUUAAUUCGACAAGGGCAAUUCCUUCUUUCAACCAAAGGCCCGUUACACGCAACAACUCAAAAAGUUUUAUAUGGCAAGCGCAUAACUCCUUGGACGAAUUCAAGAAUCUGAAAUUUAUUCAAUGUGGUUGAAAUGGAUGCCGAGGGCAGAUUCAGCACUAUAAUUAUUUCGUCGAUCGUUCACAUUCUCAGAGAGAUACAUCAGGGCUGAGUAACAAGAGCACAGAGCUCAAACUCCAGUUACGAGCCAUGGAGCCGCAAUUGUGUGACGGUUCAAUUGAUAAAAAGAAACAGGGAAGAGAAAGAAAUGCUAUCGAUUGUAUUGUUGCUGCAUUUUACGGAGUUCUUGUCUGAUUAUAGUUAGGUUUACGACUGACCAGACUAGUUUACAAUGUAUGUAUGUACUUUUAUUCGACAAAUCGUAUUGUAAGGAAAAAAUCUUUGGUAAAUGUUAUUUUUGUUAUUUGUUGUUA
Molecule: non-coding RNA, 1145 nt
Organism: Erythranthe guttata (spotted monkey flower)
Lineage: Eukaryota; Viridiplantae; Streptophyta; Magnoliopsida; Lamiales; Phrymaceae
Source: RefSeq, a predicted model, not a curated record